UAAGGAAUAUUGGUCAAUGGACGCAAGUCUGAACCAGCCAUGCCGCGUGAAGGAUGAAGGUCCUCUGGAUUGUAAACUUCUUUUAUAGGGGAAGAAACCUGGAUAUUCUUAUUCAGUUGACGGUACCCUAGGAAUAAGCACCGGCUAACUCCGUGCCAGCAGCCGCGGUAAUACGGAGGGUGCAAGCGUUAUCCGGAUUCACUGGGUUUAAAGGGUGCGUAGGAGGACAGGUAAGUCAGUGGUGAAAUCUUCGAGCUUAACUCGGAAACUGCCGUUGAUACUAUCUGUCUUGAAUACCGUGGAGAUGAGCGGAAUAUGUCAUGUAGCGGUGAAAUGCUUAGAUAUGACAUAGAACACCAAUUGCGAAGGCAGCUCGUUACACGAAUAUUGACUCUGAGGCACGAAAGCGUGGGGAUCAAACAGG
RNAcentral lists this ribosomal RNA (424 nucleotides) under Bacillota bacterium. RNAcentral describes it as "Firmicutes bacterium partial 16S ribosomal RNA". It matches the Rfam family "Bacterial small subunit ribosomal RNA", at positions 355 to 776 of the family's 1533-position model. Lineage: Bacteria; Bacillati; Bacillota. The record is from RNAcentral.